This 301-nucleotide ribosomal RNA is filed under the name uncultured bacterium. RNAcentral's name for it is "partial 16S ribosomal RNA". It matches the Rfam family "Bacterial small subunit ribosomal RNA", at positions 509 to 807 of the family's 1533-position model. The record is from RNAcentral.
CAGUCGCCGCGGUAAUACGUAGGGUGCGAGCGUUAAUCGGAACUACUGGGCGUAAAGCGUGCGCAGGCGGUUGUGUAAGACAGGUGUGAAAUCCCCGGGCUUAACCUGGGAACUGCGCUUGUGACUGCACAGCUAGAGUAUGGCAGAGGGGGGUGGAAUUCCACGUGUAGCAGUGAAAUGCGUAGAGAUGUGGAGGAACACCGAUGGCGAAGGCAGCCCCCUGGGCCAAUACUGACGCUCAUGCACGAAAGCGUGGGGAGCAAACAGGAUUAGAUACCCGCGUAGUCCCUGUCUCUUAUAC